CUGAGGCUUCAGUGUGUUAGUAGAACAGGUUUGUGAAUUCAGCCCCAGGACCAGCUGGAUGAGGGGACUGAGGCUUCAGUGUGUUAGUAGAACAGGUUAGUGAACUCAGCCCCAGGACCAGCUGGAUGAGGGGACUGAGGCUUCAGUGUGUUAGUAGAACAGGUUAGUGAACUCAGCCCCAGGACCAGCUGGAUGAGGGGACUGAGGCUUCAGUGUGUUAGUAGAACAGGUUAGUGAACUCAGCCCCAGGACCAGCUGGAUGAGGGGACUGAGGCUUCAGUGUGUUAGUAGAACAGGUUAGUGAACUCAGCCCCAGGACCAGCUGGAUGAGGGGACUGAGGCUUCAGUGUGUUAGUAGAACAGGUUAGUGAACUCAGCCCCAGGACCAGCUGGAUGAGGGGACUGAGGCUUCAGUGUGUUAGUAGAACAGGUUAGUGAACUCAGGACCAGCUGGAUGAGGGGACUGAGGCUUCAGUGUGUUAGUAGAACAGGUUAGUGAACUCAGCCCCAGGACCAGCUGGAUGAGGGGACUGAGGCUUCAGUGUGUUAGUAGAACAGGUUAGUGAACUCAGGACCAGCUGGAUGAGGGGACUGAGGCUUCAGUGUGUUAGUAGAACAGGUUAGUGAACUCAGGACCAGCUGGAUGAGGGGACUGAGGCUUCAGUGUGUUAGUAGAACAGGUUUGUGAACUCAGGACCAGCUGGAUGAGGGGACUGAGGCUUCAGUGUGUUAGUAGAACAGGUUUGUGAACUCAGGACCAGCUGGAUGAGGGGACUGAGGCUUCAGUGUGUUAGUAGAACAGGUUUGUGAACUCAGGACCAGCAGGAUGAAGGAACUCCUUUGCUCAGCUCUUGGUAUUGCAGGGCUUGGUAAUGAUAUGAGCGGUGGUCAUUGUAUUUUGGAUGUUUCCAAAACUUUAAUUGCUCAUUGAGUUGUUAUUAUUAGUGGAUAUUGGCCUAAUUCUGUCCUGCAUCCAUUUUUUUAAGUUUUUGUUUGUAGGAGAAUGUUAAAGAACUCUGCAUGCAGGGUUUCAAUGGGGUGUUUGUAGUUU
Molecule: long non-coding RNA, 1051 nt
Organism: Oncorhynchus keta (chum salmon)
Lineage: Eukaryota; Metazoa; Chordata; Actinopteri; Salmoniformes; Salmonidae
Exons: 3
Source: RefSeq, a predicted model, not a curated record